UUUAACGAGAGUUUGAUCCUGGCUCAGGAUGAACGCUGGCGGCGUGCCUAACACAUGCAAGUCGAACGAAGCGCCUGGCCCCGACUUCUUCGGAACGAGGAGCCUUGCGACUGAGUGGCGGACGGGUGAGUAACGCGUGGGCAACCUGCCUUGCACUGGGGGAUAACAGCCAGAAAUGGCUGCUAAUACCGCAUAAGACCGAAGCGCCGCAUGGCGCGGCGGCCAAAGCCCCGGCGGUGCAAGAUGGGCCCGCGUCUGAUUAGGUAGUUGGCGGGGUAACGGCCCACCAAGCCGACGAUCAGUAGCCGACCUGAGAGGGUGACCGGCCACAUUGGGACUGAGACACGGCCCAGACUCCUACGGGAGGCAGCAGUGGGGAAUAUUGCACAAUGGGGGAAA
RNAcentral lists this non-coding RNA (399 nucleotides) under Lachnospiraceae bacterium 5_1_57FAA. RNAcentral describes it as "Bacterial small subunit ribosomal RNA". It matches the Rfam family "Bacterial small subunit ribosomal RNA", at positions 1 to 380 of the family's 1533-position model. The record is from Rfam by way of RNAcentral. Lineage: Bacteria; Bacillati; Bacillota; Clostridia; Lachnospirales; Lachnospiraceae.